This 458-nucleotide ribosomal RNA is filed under the name uncultured bacterium. RNAcentral's name for it is "bacterial SSU rRNA". It matches the Rfam family "Bacterial small subunit ribosomal RNA", at positions 335 to 788 of the family's 1533-position model. The record is from RNAcentral.
ACUCCUACGGGAGGCAGCAGUGGGGAAUAUUGGACAAUGGGGGCAACCCUGAUCCAGCGAUGCCGCGUGUGUGAAGAAGGCCUGAGGGUUGUAAAGCACUUUUAGUGGGGAGGAAAGUUAACAGGUUAAGAGCUAGUUAAGUUGACGUUACCCACCAUAAACAGCACCGGCUAACUCCGUGCCAGCAGCCGCGGUAAUACGGAGGGGUUAGCGUUGUUCGGAAUUACUGGGCGUAAAGCGCGCGUAGGCGGAUUGGAAAGUUGGGGUGAAAUCCCGGGGCUCAACCCCGAACGGCCUCCAAAACUCCCAGUCUUGAGUUUCGAGAGAGGUGAGUGAAUUCCGAGUGUAGAGGUGAAAUUCGUGAUAUUCGGAGGAACACCAGUGCGAAGGCGGCUCANUGGCUCGAUACUGACGCUGAGGUGCGAAAAGCGUGGGGAGCAAACAGGAUUAGAUACCCU